AAAGCCACGGCUAACUACGUGCCAGCAGCCGCGGUAAUACGUAGGUGGCAAGCGUUGUCCGGAUUUAUUGGGCGUAAAGCGAGCGCAGGCGGUUUUUUAGGUCUGAUGUGAAAGCCUUCGGCUUAACCGGAGAAGGGCAUCGGAAACCGGGAGACUUGAGUGCAGAAGAGGACAGUGGAACUCCAUGUGUAGCGGUGAAAUGCGUAGAUAUAUGGAAGAACACCAGUGGCGAAGGCGGCUGUCUGGUCUGUAACUGACGCUGAGGCUCGAAAGCAUGGGUAGCGAACAGGAUUAGAUACCCUGGUAGUCCAUGCCGUAAACGAUGAGUGCUAAGUGUUGGAGGGUUUCCGCCCUUCAGUGCUGCAGCUAACGCAUUAAGCACUCCGCCUGGGGAGUACGACCGCAAGGUUGAAACUCAAAGGAAUUGACGGGGGCCCGCACAAGCGGUGGAGCAUGUGGUUUAAUUCGAUGCUACGCGAAGAACCUUACCAGGUCUUGACAUCUUCUGCUAACCUAAGAGAUUAGGCGUUCCCUUCGGGGACGGAAUGACAGGUGGUGCAUGGUUGUCGUCAGCUCGUGUCGUGAGAUGUUGGGUUAAGUCCCGCAACGAGCGCAACCCUUAUUGUCAGUUGCCAGCAUUUAGUUGGGCACUCUGGCGAGACUGCCGGUGACAAACCGGAGGAAGGUGGGGAUGACGUCAAAUCAUCAUGCCCCUUAUGACCUGGGCUACACACGUGCUACAAUGGACGGUACAACGAGUCGCGAAACCGCGAGGUCAAGCUAAUCUCUUAAAGCCGUUCUCAGUUCGGAUUGCAGGCUGCAACUCGCCUGCAUGAAGUUGGAAUCGCUAGUAAUCGUGGAUCAGCAUGCCACGGUGAAUACGUUCCCGGGCCUUGUACACACCGCCCGUCACACCAUGAGAGUUUGUAACACCCAAAGCCGGUGAGGUAACCUUCGGGAACCAGCCGUUUAAGGUGGGACAGAUGAUUAGGGUGAAGUCGUAACAAGGUAGCCGUAGGAGAACCUGCGGCUGGAUCACCUCCUUUCUAA
This 1050-nucleotide ribosomal RNA is filed under the name uncultured bacterium. RNAcentral's name for it is "bacterial SSU rRNA". It matches the Rfam family "Bacterial small subunit ribosomal RNA", at positions 487 to 1533 of the family's 1533-position model. The record is from RNAcentral.